This 84-nucleotide transfer RNA is filed under the name Schistocephalus solidus. It matches the Rfam family "tRNA". Rfam says of the family: Transfer RNA (tRNA) molecules are approximately 80 nucleotides in length. Their secondary structure includes four short double-helical elements and three loops (D, anti-codon, and T loops). Further hydrogen bonds mediate the characteristic L-shaped molecular structure. tRNAs have two regions of fundamental functional importance: the anti-codon, which is responsible for specific mRNA codon recognition, and the 3' end, to which the tRNAs corresponding amino acid is attached (by aminoacyl-tRNA synthetases). tRNAs cope with the degeneracy of the genetic code in two manners: having more than one tRNA (with a specific anti-codon) for a particular amino acid; and 'wobble' base-pairing, i.e. permitting non-standard base-pairing at the 3rd anti-codon position. The record is from Rfam by way of RNAcentral. Lineage: Eukaryota; Metazoa; Platyhelminthes; Cestoda; Diphyllobothriidea; Diphyllobothriidae.
AGCCUCGUAGCUCAGUUGGCUUAAGCGUUGGCUGUACUGAAGCCUUCCCCCUUGCUGGCGUGGGUUCGAAUCCCACCGAGGUUU